RNAcentral lists this ribosomal RNA (224 nucleotides) under uncultured bacterium. Its description in RNAcentral is "partial 16S ribosomal RNA". It matches the Rfam family "Bacterial small subunit ribosomal RNA", at positions 524 to 746 of the family's 1533-position model. The record is from RNAcentral.
UACGUAGGGUGCAAGCGUUAAUCGGAAUUACUGGGCGUAAAGCGUGCGCAGGCGGCUAUGCAAGACAGAUGUGAAAUCCCCGGGCUCAACCUGGGAACUGCAUUUGUGACUGCAUAGCGUAGAGUACGGUAGAGGGGGAUGGAAUUCCGCGUGUAGCAGUGAAAUGCGUAGAUAUGCGGAGGAACACCGAUGGCGAAGGCAAUCCCCUGGACCUGUACUGACGC